RNAcentral lists this ribosomal RNA (497 nucleotides) under uncultured bacterium. Its description in RNAcentral is "partial 16S ribosomal RNA". It matches the Rfam family "Bacterial small subunit ribosomal RNA", at positions 28 to 507 of the family's 1533-position model. The record is from RNAcentral.
GACGAACGCUGGCGGCGUGCCUAAUACAUGCAAGUUGAGCGAUGAAGGUUGGUGCUUGCACCAAUUUGAAGAGCAGCGAACGGGUGAGUAACGCGUGGGGAAUCUGCCUUUGAGCGGGGGACAACAUUUGGAAACGAAUGCUAAUACCGCAUAACAACUUUAAACAUAAGCUUUAAGUUUGAAAGAUGCAAUUGCAUCACUCAAAGAUGAUCCCGCGUUGUAUUAGCUAGUUGGUGAGGUAAAGGCUCACCAAGGCGAUGAUACAUAGCCGACCUGAGAGGGUGAUCGGCCACAUUGGGACUGAGACACGGCCCAAACUCCUACGGGAGGCAGCAGUAGGGAAUCUUCGGCAAUGGACGAAAGUCUGACCGAGCAACGCCGCGUGAGUGAAGAAGGUUUUCGGAUCGUAAAACUCUGUUGGUAGAGAAGAACGUUGGUGAGAGUGGAAAGCUCAUCAAGUGACGGUAACUACCCAGAAAGGGACGGCUAACUACGUG